This 497-nucleotide ribosomal RNA is filed under the name uncultured bacterium. Its description in RNAcentral is "partial 16S ribosomal RNA". It matches the Rfam family "Bacterial small subunit ribosomal RNA", at positions 28 to 507 of the family's 1533-position model. The record is from RNAcentral.
GAUGAACGCUGGCGGCGUGCCUAAUACAUGCAAGUCGAGCGAACGGACGAGAAGCUUGCUUCUCUGACGUUAGCGGCGGACGGGUGAGUAACACGUGGAUAACCUACCUAUAAGACUGGGAUAACUUCGGGAAACCGGAGCUAAUACCGGAUAAUAUUUUGAACCGCAUGGUUCAAUAGUGAAAGAUGGCUUUGCUGUCACUUAUAGAUGGAUCCGCGCUGCAUUAGCUAGUUGGUAAGGUAACGGCUUACCAAGGCAACGAUGCAUAGCCGACCUGAGAGGGUGAUCGGCCACACUGGAACUGAGACACGGUCCAGACUCCUACGGGAGGCAGCAGUAGGGAAUCUUCCGCAAUGGGCGAAAGCCUGACGGAGCAACGCCGCGUGAGUGAUGAAGGUCUUCGGAUCGUAAAACUCUGUUAUUAGGGAAGAACAUAUGUGUAAGUAACUGUGCACGUCUUGACGGUACCUAAUCAGAAAGCCACGGCUAACUACGUG